GACGAACGCUGGCGGCGUGCCUAAUACAUGCAAGUUGAGCGAUGAAGCUUGGUGCUUGCACCAAUUUGAAGAGCAGCGAACGGGUGAGUAACGCGUGGGGAAUCUGCCUUUGAGCGGGGGACAACAUUUGGAAACGAAUGCUAAUACCGCAUAACAACUUUAAACAUAAGUUUUAAGUUUGAAAGAUGCAAUUGCAUCACUCAAAGAUGAUCCCGCGUUGUAUUAGCUAGUUGGUGAGGUAAAGGCUCACCAAGGCGAUGAUACAUAGCCGACCUGAGAGGGUGAUCGGCCACAUUAGGACUGAGACACGGCCCAAACUCCUACGGGAGGCAGCAGUAGGGAAUCUUCGGCAAUGGACGAAAGUCUGACCGAGCAACGCCGCGUGAGUGAAGAAGGUUUUCGGAUCGUAAAACUCUGUUGGUAGAGAAGAACGUUGGUGAGAGUGGAAAGCUCAUCAAGUGACGGUAACUACCCAGAAAGGGACGGCUAACUACGUG
Molecule: ribosomal RNA, 497 nt
Filed under: uncultured bacterium
Lineage: Bacteria
Description: partial 16S ribosomal RNA
Rfam family: Bacterial small subunit ribosomal RNA
Source: RNAcentral